Molecule: ribosomal RNA, 659 nt
Filed under: uncultured archaeon
Lineage: Archaea
Description: bacterial SSU rRNA
Rfam family: Archaeal small subunit ribosomal RNA
Source: RNAcentral
CACACAGCUCAGUAACACGUGGCUAAUCUGCCCUUGGGACGAGAAUACCCCCGGGAAACUGGGGCUAAUUCUCGAUAGGUGAAGAACACUGGAAUGUGUUUUCACCUAAAAGAUCCUGCGUUAUGCUCGUAGGUAUCGCCUAAGGAUGAGGCCGCGACCGAUCAGGUUGUUGGUGAGGUAAUGGCUCACCAAGCCUUUUACCGGUGCGGGCCGUGGGAGCGGGAGCCCGGAGAUGGGUACUGAGACAAGGACCCAGGCCCUACGGGGCGCAGCAGUCGCGAAAACUUUGCAAUACACGAAAGUGUGACAGGGCUAUCCCGAGUGCCAUCCGCUGAGGAAGGCUUUUACCCAGUCUAGAACGCUGGGGGAAUAAGGAGAGGGCAAGUCUGGUGUCAGCCGCCGCGGUAAUACCAGCUCUUCGAGUGGUGUGGAUGUUUAUUGGGCCUAAAGCAUCCGUAGCUGGCUAAGUUAGUCCCUUGUUAAAUCCACCGAAUUAAUCGUUGGAUUGCGGGGGAUACUGCUUGGCUAGGGGACGAGAGAGGCAGACGGUAUUUCCGGGGUAGGGGUGAAAUCCUAUAAUCCCGGGAAGACCACCAGUGGCGAAGGCUGUCUGCUAGAACGCGCCCGACGGUGAGGGAUGAAAGCUGGGGGAGCGAACC